GACGUAGGGUGCGAGCGUUGUCCGGAUUUAUUGGGCGUAAAGAGCUCGUAGGCGGCUUGUCACGUCGGGUGUGAAAACUCGGGGCUCAACCCCGAGCCUGCACUCGAUACGGGCUAGCUAGAGUGUUGCAGGGGAGACUGGAAUUCCUGGUGUAGCGGUGAAAUGCGCAGAUAUCAGGAGGAACACCGGUGGCGAAGGCGGGUCUCUGGGCAACUACUGACGCUGAGGAGCGAAAGCGUGGGGAGCGAACAGG
Molecule: ribosomal RNA, 253 nt
Filed under: uncultured bacterium
Lineage: Bacteria
Description: partial 16S ribosomal RNA
Rfam family: Bacterial small subunit ribosomal RNA
Source: RNAcentral